This 244-nucleotide long non-coding RNA is filed under the name Capsicum annuum. Its description in RNAcentral is "long non-coding RNA (CANN_LNC020699)". The record is from RNAcentral. Lineage: Eukaryota; Viridiplantae; Streptophyta; Magnoliopsida; Solanales; Solanaceae.
CGGGAGACAAUUUUGGGUCGUUACAUCUCUCUCUAUUCUUCUUAUAUUUGUUUUAUAUUUCAUAACAGUAUAAUUAUAUUUAAAAAGAAAAAAGUCAUCAAAACCAUCUUAAACUAUAUCCAAAAAGUUAAAAACACAUUUAAACUAUUGAAGUGACCUAAUACAUACCUGUACUAUCGAAAAGUGAAUUUAAUUCCACCCCGACUCUAAUUCAACCAGUCACAUAGUAGGAGUUGCUUUGCAC